UAGAGUUUGAUCCUGGCUCAGAUUGAACGCUGGCGGCAUGCUUUACACAUGCAAGUCGAACGGUAACAGGGUGCUUGCACCGCUGACGAGUGGCGAACGGGUGAGUAAUGCGUCGGAACGUGCCGAGUAGUGGGGGAUAACGCAGCGAAAGUUGUGCUAAUACCGCAUACGUACUGAGGUAGAAAGUGGGGGACCUUCGGGCCUCACGCUAUUCGAGCGGCCGACGUCUGAUUAGCUAGUAGGUGAGGUAAAGGCUCACCUAGGCGACGAUCAGUAGCGGGUCUGAGAGGAUGAUCCGCCACACUGGGACUGAGACACGGCCCAGACUCCUACGGGAGGCAGCAGUGGGGAAUUUUGGACAAUGGGCGAAAGCCUGAUCCAGCCAUGCCGCGUGUCUGAAGAAGGCCUUCGGGUUGUAAAGGACUUUUGUCAGGGAGGAAAUCCCUAGUGCUAAUAACACUGGGGGAUGACAGUACCUGAAGAAUAAGCACCGGCUAACUACGUGCCAGCAGCCGCGGUAAUACGUAGGGUGCGAGCGUUAAUCGGAAUUACUGGGCGUAAAGCGUGCGCAGGCGGUUUGAUAAGCCAGAUGUGAAAUCCCCGAGCUCAACUUGGGAACUGCGUUUGGAACUGUCAGACUAGAGUGCGUCAGAGGGGGGUGGAAUUCCGCGUGUAGCAUGAAAUGCGUAGAGAUGCGGAAGAACACCGUGACGAAAGCAGCCCCCCUGGAUGACACUGACUCUAUGCGCGAAGCUGGUCAGAAAAAGAGAUUGAGACGCCGCAAUCACGCCUAAACGAUGUGUGUUAGC
Molecule: ribosomal RNA, 809 nt
Filed under: uncultured bacterium
Lineage: Bacteria
Description: bacterial SSU rRNA
Rfam family: Bacterial small subunit ribosomal RNA
Source: RNAcentral